RNAcentral lists this long non-coding RNA (268 nucleotides) under Elaeis guineensis (African oil palm). RNAcentral describes it as "long non-coding RNA (EGUI_LNC075987)". The record is from RNAcentral. Lineage: Eukaryota; Viridiplantae; Streptophyta; Magnoliopsida; Arecales; Arecaceae.
GCCCGAUUAUUUAGAGACCGGAUGGGGGAAGAGAUCCUUGCAACGGUCCUUACGUGCCCCCACAGCCAUGUUAGGAACAGGAGAAGAAUCUCAUCCUAACAUGAGCAAAGUCGAAGGCCCGAUUAUUUAGAGACUGGAUGGGGCGAGAGGCCCUUGCAAUAGUCCUUACGUGCCCCCACAGUCCUGUUAGGAACAGGAGGAGAACCUCAUCCUAAUAUGAGCUGAAAUUGACUGUGUCGGAAACAGGAGAAGAACCUCGUCCUGAUAC